ACGUGCGUAGCUCAAUUGGUAGAGUAGCGGUCUCCAAAACCGCCGGUUGGGGGUUCGAGUCCCUCCGCACGUGCCA
RNAcentral lists this transfer RNA (76 nucleotides) under Bacteroidota bacterium. Its description in RNAcentral is "Bacteroidetes bacterium (activated sludge metagenome) tRNA-Trp". It matches the Rfam family "tRNA". Rfam says of the family: Transfer RNA (tRNA) molecules are approximately 80 nucleotides in length. Their secondary structure includes four short double-helical elements and three loops (D, anti-codon, and T loops). The record is from RNAcentral. Lineage: Bacteria; Pseudomonadati; Bacteroidota.